Long non-coding RNA from Eriocheir sinensis (Chinese mitten crab), 2462 nucleotides. RefSeq lists it as uncharacterized. The record is from RefSeq and is a predicted model, not a curated record. The transcript has 3 exons. Lineage: Eukaryota; Metazoa; Arthropoda; Malacostraca; Decapoda; Varunidae.
UAUGACUGUGACUGACUCCUCUCGGCCUCUUUUAUAUAUGUGGUGCCCCGCGGGCCGCGACACCACUCGCUCCGCUAGCUGCAGUGUCAUCAUCCCCAGCAAUAUUUUCCGAUGACGACAGCGGUAUCGACCGCUAAAGCACAACACGGACUCCGAAAUAUAGACAUACGAAACCACAGGGUGUUCACAUAUGCACCGCUUGCCAACACAUGCCUGUCCCCAAACGCAUUGUUUACUUACCAACCUAUACACAAUUGCCCAUAAACGCACCUGCUUAUCUCUCUAAGCCAAAACACGAUCAACAGCGGAACAAAAUGUUAUGAAAACAAAGCUGCGUCACCGCGUGACAGCUACACUAAGGAUUAAAAUCGAGUGUGAGCCAAUCUUAUUAAACAUGUCGGUUAGGUAGAUUAUUGUAUGAGCUUGAUGUGAGUUUGAUGUAAGACUCACACGCCUGACGUGUUACCCUCGUGAUGUCUGUAUGUAUGUCAUGCCUAUAUAAGAAGCAUUUAUUCAGGCUAGACCUCAGAUCAGCCAGCACUCUGCUCGUUUGCUGUACACCCAGUUGUCCUUCCCUUGACAACAUGGGCAGAACAUUCAUCUUUGCUACUGUUGGGAGUCUUCCCAAAAACAUCCCCAAAGAAAGCGACUUCGGAUCCCUCCACAUCAAUCUUGAGGAUGUCAAUGAUGCUGUUGAGGUGGCCGAGCCCCGCGAGGAUGUUGGCGUAGCGGUCCACCUGCGGGUGCAGCGAUGGUUGUCACGGGCCUGGCAAUAUCUCUCUCUCCUGUAGUUGGAGAGUGCGGGACACACAUGGCCUUACGUGGAUGACUCAUCGGCAAAGAAUCCAGCUGUCAGGCCUUCUCUGUCGAGACGGCAAUGCCCCACCCCGACACUCCAAUAGCUUUUUAUUCCAUGCCGAUUUUUUCAUAGAAUUAUCAAAAAGCAACAAUGCCAACUGACAAAGAAAAUUCUACUGAAGAUGAUGGUAUCAACAUAUUUUUGGUAAGUUAGAAAGGAAGGGAGGUAAGCAAGCUUUUAUACAAAAUCGUAGGCGAUGGACGAGUGGCUUCGUACUAAGUUCGUAGCGUAAAAGCACAUAAUAGCCUAACAUUACAGUUUAAUAAGUUCGUAUUAAAAUUUACUUACCUCCUUUUCUAACGUAUCGAUAAUCUGUUGACAUCAUCAUAUUCAGGAGAAUUUUCUUUAUCAAGUGGCACUGUUUGUUUUUACAGUAGCUUAAUAAUUCUAUGGAAAAUUGGCAUAGAAUAAAAAGUGGUAUAAACCGUUAUAACUCGUCUUUGAAUUCAACUCGCAUUAUAUCCUUUAUUUUUAGUCAGUUUGAGUUGUUUUUAUUACAGUCAUAAUCUGCAAUCUUUCUCCUGUCCAAUUAUGAAAAAGACGACAUGAGUUGGCUACGGAGCAUAAAAGUAAAACUUGUAAUGUGGCGAGGUCUGUUUCCAUGAUCGUCUCUCUCUCUCUCUCUCUCUCUCUCUCUCUCAUGCCCCUUGCUGCAUGGGACAUUCUAGGCUUUAUCAAACUCGUACAUGCUACUAUGCACAUAAACAUAUAAAAUGUCAAUGUAGAGCUGUUGAUCCAAAGUCAUUGCGGAGCACAGCAAAUACUACUGCAUUGACUAAUUAUAUACAGUAGUAGAGAGCAAGAAUGAUAAUUGUAUCGUCUUUGGUAGAGUAGCGGCGCAUUGCAUACCUCACAGUAAAAGUGGUACAUGGCAACUUUGCAUCCUUCAUCAUCAUUUUAACAGCGAUAUCUUUGGCUUCAGACUUAAGAAAAUGCUUUAAAAGUAUUUUUCAACUACUCCUUUUUGGAUUAUUGCUACUCACACACUGUUGUUAAUAAUAAGGCAACAAUAUAUUGAUUUUAUAUAUUUGUUACAUAUAAACUGUUUAUGACGUCAUUGUCCAAGCCCUUCCUGCGUCGUGACUGGCUCGGUCUGGCUGACACAUCUGACUGUUAAUUGGCUAGUUGUGGGUAUGGGACCGAGCCAGUAUACAGUUCCGAAUAAUGCUGCCCGGGCAGUCGGCGCACAGCCGGUACAGCCCAGCCAGCUGUUCAUCCUCCCUCUCAGGCUGGUCGAUAAAUGAUUACCUGGAGAAUGUAAACUACGGCGGCCCUGAUAUCACACUGGCCCUGUGUGUCGGAGUAAUGGGUUGGCCCUCGCCACAGGCUCAAGGGCCAAUGUGACGGAGAUGAGCACCGAGGCCACGCGCAGCUAAGGUCCUGUUCACACUGUACCGACUCUGGACCACGACAACCCAGCGACUCAGGGUACACGAGGUCUUGGGCGUGAAAUUUUGAUAUGAAAGGGUCGAACAUGGUCGGAAAGGGGUCUAGCAACGAUCGCCGGAUGCUGAGUCGGCACAGUGUGAAGUGGUCUAAAAGUCGCUGGGUUUUCGUGGCCCAGAGUCGGCAGUGUGAACGAGGCAUAAGCGUAUGCCUCCAA